Peromyscus eremicus (cactus mouse) is the source of this 397-nucleotide long non-coding RNA. RefSeq lists it as uncharacterized. The record is from RefSeq and is a predicted model, not a curated record. NCBI's taxonomy places the organism in Eukaryota, Metazoa, Chordata, Mammalia, Rodentia, Cricetidae. The transcript has 3 exons.
AAAAGUAUGAUGUAGUUGGUCACACUGUGUUCACAGUUAUGAAGCAGAAUGAUAUGGAUGCUGGUGCUUUGCUUAAUUCCCACGUUUUAUUCAAGUUGGGAGCCCAGUCCAUAGAAUGGUACCACCUAUAUUUAGAGUGAGUCUUCCUCCUCAGUUAAACUUUUAGGGAAACAGCCUCACAGUCAUGCUAAGAGCAGGCACUACCAAAGAAAAUUAUUUUAUUUCUGCAUUUCCUCCAUGCCUACUGAACCCACAAAGCACAAGCUACUGAAGAUUUCACACUAAGAUGUGGAUGCCCGAGCCACACUUUCCUUGGGCAGGAAUAGAUGAGAACGCAUGGUUGAAGAUGGCAUAAUGAACAGGGACACUGACUCUACAUAGAAGCAGAAGAAAAGAA